This is a long non-coding RNA of Thunnus maccoyii (southern bluefin tuna), 300 nucleotides long. RefSeq lists it as uncharacterized. Lineage: Eukaryota; Metazoa; Chordata; Actinopteri; Scombriformes; Scombridae. The transcript has 3 exons. The record is from RefSeq and is a predicted model, not a curated record.
UCCAAUAAUCUCUCUCUUUUAGCUCUGUUUUUGCUCUCUACCAUUUCCUGAGGGGAAUAUCUGGCUCUUUAGCGGCUUUAAGGAAAGCCAGGGACCCACUGACACAACCCAACACUUCAACGUCUAAGCAGGUGCUGAUUCCUUGUGACUUGAAGAGUCAACUGAGCUGAGGAAGACCAUAAGAUGUGGUUGAAAGCUCUGGAAAAAGCUUGUUUCUGAAGUUGGAUGGUCGAAUCUUCAUCUCGGCAAACUCGAUUGAGUGCUCGUGGCCUUUCCAGUGGAACCAGUUCACGCCCUGGA